This is a long non-coding RNA of Megachile rotundata (alfalfa leafcutting bee), 1026 nucleotides long. Lineage: Eukaryota; Metazoa; Arthropoda; Insecta; Hymenoptera; Megachilidae. The record is from RefSeq and is a predicted model, not a curated record.
ACGAGCUAGACGCCGUAACGUGUGCGUUUUGACGACUGAAGGAAACUAAGAUCACUGAUUGGUCGGUCAGUGUAUCCACGGUCAGUUGGUCUCGUUCGAGCAUUCACUGAGAACCGGUUUCCCGGGCUUGAGGUUGAAGAUCGGAUGGGAAUAGUUCAUUAAUUGAUCGUAAAUGAGUAGUAAACGUGAACGAGGAAUCGAGAGAAGGUUACAGAGGAGUAAAUCAAUUGGUCACUGGUUAAGUCAGGGUCGUUUCGAUAUCAAACAUUUGCGGAGAAUUUGAAAACCACAAUGUUAAGCCUGUCACUGGAAAAACUUUGACCUUGACCUUCAACUGCAAGGUCAAUUAUUUAUUAUAUCGUGGAAGAACAAAAAGUCAGAGAGGUGCAUUGCGAUCAUACGAAAUUCUCAAGGACUAAAGUAUUUGAUACGAAACGACAUGAAUGAAGAUCUAAAACAAUGAUUCUCAAGACCACAUUCCUUCUUCUGUGUCAUCUAAUUUGAAGAUCCUACUUUUUUAAACACUGCAUGUUUCUUUCACGAAGAUUCCGUGAAACAUUUUCCUCAGAAAAGUUGAUUCGUUGUACGAAAUUAACGAUACCCUGUUAAUCGAAGCGCGACUGUAUGCGUUUCAUUCUGUGCAACAGGUCUUUAAGAUCAGUAUUUCAAUUGCGUAACGGUAUCAAUAGCUGUUUGAGAUAAUUGGAAACAUUGUCACAUGUGAGCUGAACUCGGUUAUGACUAAAAGGAAGCGAGACUUUUAUUCAAAAGAGUACAUUUCGAAAGACGUGACUUGAAUUAACGUCAAAAUUUAGCUGCAGCGAGGAAGGAGUAGAAAAAUUCGAUAAUAAGGAAAAUUUGACAGUCGUGGAAAAUGUUAUUUGAAAAAACUGGAAUUGACAGUCGUGGAAAAUGUUAUUUGAAAAAACUGGAAUUGACAGUUGGUGUCAGAUUAUCACAGAUACACAGAAUGAUUCAUUUUGGCACCAGACACACCUAUUUGUGGGAAACAGAUAAAAAAAAUAA